This 926-nucleotide ribosomal RNA is filed under the name archaeon enrichment culture clone AOM-SR-A34. Its description in RNAcentral is "bacterial SSU rRNA". It matches the Rfam family "Archaeal small subunit ribosomal RNA", at positions 1 to 921 of the family's 1478-position model. The record is from RNAcentral.
UCGACGAUUUUCCGGUUGAUCCUGCCGGAGGCUACUGCUAUCGGGGUUCGAUUAAGCCAUGCGAGUUAAAUGUUCUUCGUGAACAUAGCGAACUGCUCAGUAACACGUGGAUAACCUACCCUUAGGACCGGAAUAACCCCGGGAAACUGGGGAUAAUACCGGAUAAGCCAUAGACGCUGGAAUGCCCUAUGGCUCAAAGCUCCGGCGCCUAAGGAUGGAUCUGCGGUCUAUCAGGUUGUAGUGGGUGUAACGUACCUACUAGCCGACGACGGAUACGGGUUGUGAGAGCAAGAGCCCGGAGAUGGAUUCUGAGACACGAAUCCAGGCCCUACGGGGUGCAGCAGGCGCGAACACUUUACAAUGCGGGAAACCGCGAUAAGGGAACCCCGAGUGCCAGCAUCAAAUGUUGGCUGUCCGGAUGAUUAAAAAUCAUUUGUUAGCAAGGGCCGGGCAAGACCGGUGCCAGCCGCCGCGGUAACACCGGCGGCCCGAGUGGUAGCCGUUUUUAUUGGGUCUAAAGGGUCCGUAGCCGGCCUGAUCAGUCCUUUGGGAAAUCUGGCAGCUUAACUGUCAGGCUUCUAAGGGAUACUGUCAGGCUUGGGACCGGAAGAGGUAAGGGGUACUCCAGGGGUAGGAGUGAAAUCUUGUAAUCCCUGGGGGACCAUCUGUGGCGAAGGCGCCUUACCAGAACGGGUCCGACGGUGAGGGACGAAAGCUAGGGGAGCAAACCGGAUUAGAUACCCGGGUAGUCCUAGCUGUAAACGAUGCUCGCUAGGUGUCAGACACGGUGCGACCAUGUUUGGUGCCGCAGGGAAGCCGUUAAGCGAGCCACCUGGGAAGUACGGUCGCAAGGCUGAAACUUAAAGGAAUUGGCGGGGGAGCACUACAACGGGUGGAGCCUGCGGUUUAAUUGGAUUCAACGCCGG